GACGGAGGGUGCUAGCGUUGUUCGGAAUCACUGGGCGUAAAGGGCGCGUAGGCGGCCUUGCAAGUCGGUUGGUGAAAGCCCGGGGCUCAACCCCGGAGGUGCGGCCGAGACUGCAGGGCUGGAGGCCGGAAGAGGAGGGUGGAAUACCCAGUGUAGAGGUGAAAUUCGUAGAUAUUGGGAGGAACACCGGUGGCGAAGGCGGCCCUCUGGACCGGUACUGACGCUGAUGCGCGAAAGCGUGGGGAGCAAACGGG
Molecule: ribosomal RNA, 254 nt
Filed under: uncultured bacterium
Lineage: Bacteria
Description: partial 16S ribosomal RNA
Rfam family: Bacterial small subunit ribosomal RNA
Source: RNAcentral